This 799-nucleotide ribosomal RNA is filed under the name uncultured soil archaeon. RNAcentral's name for it is "bacterial SSU rRNA". It matches the Rfam family "Archaeal small subunit ribosomal RNA", at positions 77 to 864 of the family's 1478-position model. The record is from RNAcentral.
CGGAGAGUAUGUCUCAGUAGCACGUGGUUAAUCUGCCUUGGGAUGGAGAUAACCCUGGGAAACUGGGGCUAAUAACUUAUAGGCGCAGAGGCCUGGAAUGGUUCUGCACUGAAAGGCUCGAGAACAUGCUCUCGAGGUCGCCAAUGAUGAGACUGCGGCCGAUCAGGUUGUUGGUGGGGUAAUGGCCUACCAAGCCUAUAACCGGUACGGGCUCUGAGAGGAGGGGCUUUGAGAUGGGAACUGAGACAAGGUCCCAGGUCCUACUGGGCGCAGCAGGUGCUAAAACUCCACAAUGCGCGACAGCGCGAUGGGGUUAACCCGAGUGCUGUCCGAUGAGGACGGCUUUUCCUCAGUGUAAGGAGCUGGGGGAAUAAAGGGGGGGCAAGUCUGGUGUCAGCCGCCGCGGUAAUACCAGCCCCCUGAGUGGUAGGGACGAUUAUUUUGGCUAAAGCGUCCGUAGCCGGCUUGGCAAGUCUUUCGUUAAAUCCGACGAUUCAAUCGUUGGGCCGCGGAAGAUACUACUAGGCUUGAGGACGGGAGAGGUUGACGGUAGUCCCAGGGUAGGGGUGAAAUCCUAUAAUCCUGGGAGGACCACCAGUGUCGAAGGCGUUCGACUAGAACGUGCCUGACGGUGAUGGACGAAAGCUGGGGGAGCGAACCGGAUUAGACACCCGGGUAGUCCCAGCAGUAAACGAUGCGAGCUAGGUGUUGGGGUAGCUACGAGCUACUCCAGUGCCGCAGAGAAGUCUUUAAGCUCACCGCCUGGGAAGUACGACCGUAAGGCUGAUUUUAUACGCCA